GGAAGUCAGGAUGUAAGGGCAGUCUGGCUACAACAUUAAUUACCAGGGUUGAUUUGGCUGGUCUGGCUGGCUAUGCAGGUAUCCCCUUCUUCCGUCACCACUCCAUGUAUAUGACCAUGCCAGAUAGAAGGAGCAUACUGAAUAUUUUGUAGGUCAAGGGUGUCUGAUAGCAAAUAGGAUGUCAGAAAAAGCAAAAUAGUUAUAAUAAACUACCAUUUCAAUAACCUUCUGUUUACAAGGCAAAUGUUAUAACCAUCUUGCUGUUACAACAUUCAUUGCAGAGGUGGUAUUCAGCAGGUU
This 300-nucleotide small nuclear RNA is filed under the name Notechis scutatus (mainland tiger snake). Its description in RNAcentral is "7SK RNA (ENSNSUG00000011329.1)". It matches the Rfam family "7SK RNA". From Rfam's summary of the family: 7SK was discovered as an abundant small nuclear RNA in the mid-70s but a possible function has only recently been suggested. Two independent studies have found that 7SK RNA binds the CDK9/cyclin T complex (known as elongation factor P-TEFb). The record is from RNAcentral. Lineage: Eukaryota; Metazoa; Chordata; Lepidosauria; Squamata; Elapidae.